GGAAUAUUGGACAAUGGGCGAAAGCCUGAUCCAGCAAUGCCGCGUGAGUGAUGACGGCCUUAGGGUUGUAAAGCUCUUUUACCCGGGAUGAUAAUGACAGUACCGGGAGAAUAAGCCCCGGCUAACUCCGUGCCAGCAGCCGCGGUAAUACGGAGGGGGCUAGCGUUGUUCGGAAUUACUGGGGGUAAAGCGCGCGUAGGCGGCUUUGGAAGUUAGAGGUGAAAGCCCGGAGCUCAACUCCGGAAUUGCCUUUAAGACUGCAUCGCUAGAAUCAUGGAGAGGUGAGUGGAAUUCCGAGUGUAGAGGUGAAAUUCGUAGAUAUUCGGAAGAACACCAGUGGCGAAGGCGACUCACUGGACAUGUAUUGACGCUGAGGCGCGAAAGCGUGGGGAGCGA
This 396-nucleotide ribosomal RNA is filed under the name uncultured bacterium. RNAcentral's name for it is "bacterial SSU rRNA". It matches the Rfam family "Bacterial small subunit ribosomal RNA", at positions 358 to 771 of the family's 1533-position model. The record is from RNAcentral.